RNAcentral lists this ribosomal RNA (254 nucleotides) under uncultured bacterium. RNAcentral's name for it is "partial 16S ribosomal RNA". It matches the Rfam family "Bacterial small subunit ribosomal RNA", at positions 524 to 776 of the family's 1533-position model. The record is from RNAcentral.
UACGUAGGGUGCAAGCGUUUAUCCGGAAUUAUUGGGCGUAAAGAGCUCGUAGGCGGUUUGUCGCGUCUGCUGUGAAAACUGGAGGCUCAACCUCCAGCCUGCAGUGGGUACGGGCAGACUAGAGUGCGGUAGGGGAGAUUGGAAUUCCUGGUGUAGCGGUGGAAUGCGCAGAUAUCAGGAGGAACACCGGUGGCGAAGGCGGGUCUCUGGGCCGUAACUGACGCUGAGGAGCGAAAGCGUGGGGAGCAAACAGG